AGUGAACGCUGGCGGUAGGCCUAACACAUGCAAGUCGAACGGCAGCACAGUAAGAGCUCGCUCUUACGGGUGGCGAGUGGCGGACGGGUGAGGAAUACAUCGGAAUCUACUUUUUCGGGGGGGAUAACGUAGGGAAACUUACGCUAAUACCGCAUACGACCUACGGGUGAAAGCACGGGAGCUUCGGACCUUGCGCGAGUGAAUGAGCCGAUGUCGGAUUAGCUAGUUGGCGGGGUAAAGGCCCACCAAGGCGACGAGCCGUAGAUGGUCUGAGAGGAUGAUAAGCCACACUGGAACUGAGACACGGUCCAGACUCUUGCGGGAGGCAGCAGUGGGGAAUAUUGGGCGAUGGACGAGAGGGUGAUACAGCCCAACCGCGUCAGGGAAGAAGGCCUCAGGGUUGGAAAGCGCUGUUGUUGGGAAAGAAAAAAAGCAGGUUAAUACCGGGAUGUACUGACGGUACCCGAAGAAUAAGCACCGGCUAACUUCGUG
This 492-nucleotide ribosomal RNA is filed under the name uncultured bacterium. RNAcentral describes it as "partial 16S ribosomal RNA". It matches the Rfam family "Bacterial small subunit ribosomal RNA", at positions 29 to 507 of the family's 1533-position model. The record is from RNAcentral.